GCCGCCUUAGCUCAGUUGGUAGAGCGGGGCCCUUGUAAUGCUCAGGUCAUCGGUUCGAUUCCGAUAGGCGGCU
RNAcentral lists this transfer RNA (73 nucleotides) under Streptomyces sp. ISL-44. RNAcentral describes it as "tRNA-Thr". It matches the Rfam family "tRNA". From Rfam's summary of the family: Transfer RNA (tRNA) molecules are approximately 80 nucleotides in length. RNAcentral also lists the same sequence under 4 other names. The record is from RNAcentral. Lineage: Bacteria; Bacillati; Actinomycetota; Actinomycetes; Kitasatosporales; Streptomycetaceae.